RNAcentral lists this ribosomal RNA (796 nucleotides) under Celeribacter halophilus. Its description in RNAcentral is "bacterial SSU rRNA". It matches the Rfam family "Bacterial small subunit ribosomal RNA", at positions 82 to 914 of the family's 1533-position model. Lineage: Bacteria; Pseudomonadati; Pseudomonadota; Alphaproteobacteria; Rhodobacterales; Roseobacteraceae. The record is from RNAcentral.
AUCUUCGGAUCUAGUGGCGGACGGGUUAGUAACGCGUGGGAACGUACCCUUCACUACGGAAUAGUCCCGGGAAACUGGGUUUAAUACCGUAUACGCCCUUCGGGGGAAAGAAUUUCGGUGAGGGAUCGGCCCGCGUUAGAUUAGUUAGUUGGUGGGGUAAUGGCCUACCAAGACUACGAUCUAUAGCUGGUUUGAGAGGAUGAUCAGCAACACUGGGACUGAGACACGGCCCAGACUCCUACGGGAGGCAGCAGUGGGGAAUCUUAGACAAUGGGGGCAACCCUGAUCUAGCGAUGCCGCGUGAGUGAUGAAGGCCUUAGGGUCGUAAAGCUCUUUCGCCUGUGAUGAUAAUGACAGUAGCAGGUAAAGAAACCCCGGCUAACUCCGUGCCAGCAGCCGCGGUAAUACGGAGGGGGUUAGCGUUGUUCGGAAUUACUGGGCGUAAAGCGCACGUAGGCGGAUUAGUCAGUCAGAGGUGAAAUCCCAGGGCUCAACCCUGGAACUGCCUUUGAUACUGCUAGUCUUGAGUUCGAGAGAGGUAAGUGGAAUUCCGAGUGUAGAGGUGAAAUUCGUAGAUAUUCGGAGGAACACCAGUGGCGAAGGCGGCUUACUGGCUCGAUACUGACGCUGAGGUGCGAAAGUGUGGGGAGCAAACAGGAUUAGAUACCCUGGUAGUCCACACCGUAAACGAUGAAUGCCAGUCGUCGGGUAGCAUGCUAUUCGGUGACACACCUAACGGAUUAAGCAUUCCGCCUGGGGGAGUACGGUCGCAAGAUUAAAACUCAAAGGAAUUGAC